Molecule: long non-coding RNA, 540 nt
Organism: Daphnia pulicaria
Lineage: Eukaryota; Metazoa; Arthropoda; Branchiopoda; Diplostraca; Daphniidae
Exons: 4
Source: RefSeq, a predicted model, not a curated record
UUCUAUGUCAUGCAUGCCAUGAAACGAGGCGAAAUGGGCGAAACAAAUUGUUGCUAAUUAUACUUAUAUUCCUGUUAUUUCCAAUACCAAAUUGAACUUCGUAUCUUAGAUGCAUUGUUACUGUCAGUCAUCCCAACAAGUUGACUUAGCGCUCAGUCACUUUCCAUCCAUUAGAUCAUCAUGCUGUGAAAAGCCUUUAACAUCAGAAAAUUUAUCCCACCUGAGAAGUGAUGCAGUUGGUUGCUGUAAUUCCAUUAUUGCGGUUUUUCAUCAUGAACAUUUCAGUGUGCAUCUUAGAAAAUAGCACGCAAGAUCCCCAUGGACAUCCUUGAGCCAAUGCUGGAUUUUGUCAUCUUCAAGACUUCAAGACUACAUUCAUCCAGCUUCACUACUUCAGUGCUUCUUAUCUGCUAGCCUGCUACACAACUUUUCUUGCUUAACUGGCGAGUUGGAUCACUUCAGUUGCUGUGACACACCUGCAGUCACUCACCACGGGAUUAUGGCCAGGUCAUGCAGAGGAAACGUCGAGAAGAUGGAUAC